This 468-nucleotide ribosomal RNA is filed under the name uncultured bacterium. RNAcentral describes it as "partial 16S ribosomal RNA". It matches the Rfam family "Bacterial small subunit ribosomal RNA", at positions 28 to 507 of the family's 1533-position model. The record is from RNAcentral.
GACGAACGCUGGCGGCGUGCUUAACACAUGCCAGUCGAACGGAAAGUCCCUUCUUUUGUGGGGUGCUCGAGUGUCGAACGGGUGAGUAACACGUUAGUAACCUGCCCUUGACUUUGGGAUAACUUCAGUAAACUGUGGCUAAUACCGGAUAGGAGCUCCUGCUGCAUGGUGGGGGUUGGAAAGUUUCGGCGGUUGGGGAUGGACUCGCGGCUUAUCAGCUUGUUGGUGGGGUAGUGGCUUACCAAGGCUUUGACGGGUAGCCGGCCGGAGAGGGUGACCGGCAACAUUGGGAGGGAGGAGAGGCCGAGACGAAUACGGGAGGAAGCAGUGGGGAAGAAUGAAAAGUGGGGGGAGGAAGGAUGCAGGAACAACGCGGGGGGGAUGAAGACGUCCGGGUGGUAAACAGCUUUCGCCUGCGAAGAAGAAGGAGUGACGGUAAUGGGUAAAGAAGCACCGGCUAACUCCGUG